AGCAGCCGCGGUAAUUCCAGCUCCAAUAGCGUAUAUUAAAGUUGUUGCAGUUAAAGAGCUCGUAGUUGAAUUUCGGGAUCAGUUUGUUGGUCGUGCUUCGGUACGUACUGUCAUUACUGGUUUCUCCCUUCUGAAGAACCUUGAUGUCAUUAAUUUGGUGUCUUGGGGAAUCAGGACUGUUACUUUGAAAAAAUUAGAGUGUUUAAAGCAGGCAUACGCUUGAAUACAUUAGCAUGGAAUAAUGAAAUAGGACGUUUGAUUCUAUUUUGUUGGUUUCUAGGAUCGACGUAAUGAUUAAUAGGGAUAGUUGGGGGCAUUAGUAUUCAAUUGUCAGAGGUGAAAUUCUUGGAUUUAUUGAAGACUAACUACUGCGAAAGCAUUUGCCAAGGAUGUUUUCAUUAAUCAAGAACAAAAGUUAGGGGAUCGAAGACGAUCAGAUACCGUCGUAGUCUUAACCAUAAACUAUGCCGACUAGGGAUCGGAUGAUGUAUUUUUAAUGA
RNAcentral lists this ribosomal RNA (500 nucleotides) under uncultured Glomus. Its description in RNAcentral is "SSU rRNA". It matches the Rfam family "Eukaryotic small subunit ribosomal RNA", at positions 569 to 1074 of the family's 1831-position model. Lineage: Eukaryota; Fungi; Glomeromycota; Glomeromycetes; Glomerales; Glomeraceae. The record is from RNAcentral.